GAUGAAGAACGCAGCGAAAUGCGAUAAGUAAUGUGAAUUGCAGAAUUCAGUGAACCAUCGAAUCUUUGAACGCACAUUGCGCCCGGCAGUAAUCUGCCGGGCAUGCCUGUCCGAGCGUCAUUUCUGCCCUCGAGCGAGUCCAGCAUCUAGGUGCUGGGCCCGCCCAGCGUUGGGGCACUACGGGAAGCCCUGUGCUGUCCCCCGUAGGCCCCGAAAUGAAGUGGCGGUCCUGCCGCGGCGCCCCCUGCGUAGUAUAACAGCUCGCUUCGGGACCCGGUGGAGGCCUGCCGUCAAACCUUACUCUCUAAGUUUGACCUCGGAUCAGGUAGGGUUACCCGCUGAACUUAAGCAUAUCAAUAAGCGGAGGA
RNAcentral lists this unclassified non-coding RNA (368 nucleotides) under soil metagenome. RNAcentral's name for it is "partial contains 5.8S ribosomal RNA, internal transcribed spacer 2, and large subunit ribosomal RNA". The stretch from base 1 to 120 matches the Rfam family "5.8S ribosomal RNA", at positions 35 to 154 of the family's 154-position model. The record is from RNAcentral.